UUAUGCUUCCCAAAAUGUGAAGGAUGUAUGGGGUUUCAAGAUCUUUACUCAUUCAAAUUGGCUGUGUUGGCUAAGCAAUGUUUGAGAUUAAUCACAGAUCCAGAGUCCCUUUGUGCUCGUGUGUUGAAAGCUAAAUAUUACCCAAAUGGAAGUCUAUUACAAGCAACACCAAAAUAG
RNAcentral lists this ribosomal RNA (177 nucleotides) under Triticum aestivum (bread wheat). Its description in RNAcentral is "partial small subunit ribosomal RNA". The record is from RNAcentral. Lineage: Eukaryota; Viridiplantae; Streptophyta; Magnoliopsida; Poales; Poaceae.